Molecule: unclassified non-coding RNA, 342 nt
Filed under: soil metagenome
Description: partial contains 5.8S ribosomal RNA, internal transcribed spacer 2, and large subunit ribosomal RNA
Rfam family: 5.8S ribosomal RNA (bases 1-120)
Source: RNAcentral
GAUGAAGAACGUAGCGAAAUGCGAUAAGUAAUGUGAAUUGCAGAAUUCAGUGAAUCAUCGAAUCUUUGAACGCACAUUGCGCCCGCCAGCACUCUGGCGGGCAUGCCUGUUCGAGCGUCAUUUCAACCAUCAAGCCCCCAGGGGCUUGUGCUGGGGCCCUGCGGCUGCCCGCAGGCCCUGAAAACCAGUGGCGGGCUCGCUAGUCACACCGAGCGCAGUAGUACAUCUCGCUCAGGGCGUGCGGCGGGCUCCUGCCGUGAAACCCCCCACUGUAACCCCAAAGGUUGACCUCGGAUCAGGUAGGAAUACCCGCUGAACUUAAGCAUAUCAAUAAGCGGAGGA